Molecule: long non-coding RNA, 696 nt
Filed under: Salvator merianae (Argentine black and white tegu)
Lineage: Eukaryota; Metazoa; Chordata; Lepidosauria; Squamata; Teiidae
Description: lncRNA (ENSSMRG00000020208.1)
Source: RNAcentral
GUUGUCUCUCGCACUCACUUACUCUUCCUUCUUUCGCCACUGUGCCAGACAAAUUUAAAUGUAUCUGUUCAAGUGGAGAUAAUCCAUGCAAAUCAGAGCCACUGCUCCCAAGUGCUCGAUUCACAAAGAGAACUCUGCUUGAGGAGGUCACUCGUUCACAGCUGCUCCUCCCAUUAUAUUUCUCCCCCUUAUAGCAGAACUGCUGCUUGUAUACACUGACUGAAAGGACUCAAUUUACUGCAACUGCUGCCUGGUUUUACUUACAACUUUCUUUAAAGCGGGACAUACCUUCCAGCUAUCUUGCAAAGAAAGAUGUAAGUCUUUAAAGACAUCUUCUCAUAUGGUGUGGAAAAGUAUGGUUUUAAAGUUAUGCCUCCAUAGCAGCAGGCCUAGAAGCGACAGUAAUCAAGUCUGGAGCCCACCUCCAGUCUCAUAUGGCUCUUGAACUUGACAUCACUGAGCUUCAUCAUUCAAGGUGUCAGAAUCCAAGGGUCCAGCAAAGAUCAUACAUGAGCUCCUGCUUUUGUUAGAUUCAUUCAAGGUUUUAACCAUCAAAUUGCUCAUUUUCCAUCUUAACUCAUUGAAGUCAUAGGAUUUUUUCAAAUUAAAGCCUAGUAAGUAUAUAGUAAGUAAUGUGGGUGUGUUUGUGUGUGCACCCACACAAGAGUUUAUUGUGUCACAUAAGGAAUAUCCAAG